RNAcentral lists this non-coding RNA (156 nucleotides) under unclassified sequences. RNAcentral describes it as "RT-3 RNA". It matches the Rfam family "RT-3 RNA". The record is from Rfam by way of RNAcentral.
UAUCGGCGUACUAGCAGCGGGGGACGUGUCCCCGAAUCGGUGCCGAGGGGAGCAAGCCUCAGCAACUAGCUACCUAGAAAAGGUGGAUUGCUGAAUAAUCACGCGUCGUGUGGAGUCUUGGUAGACUGUUAUCAAGUUCGAAGUAAGUCAGAUCCG